RNAcentral lists this ribosomal RNA (623 nucleotides) under uncultured Nakamurella sp. Its description in RNAcentral is "bacterial SSU rRNA". It matches the Rfam family "Bacterial small subunit ribosomal RNA", at positions 41 to 677 of the family's 1533-position model. Lineage: Bacteria; Bacillati; Actinomycetota; Actinomycetes; Nakamurellales; Nakamurellaceae. The record is from RNAcentral.
CGCGUGCCUUACACAUGCAAGUUUCGAACGGAAAGGCCCGCUUGCGGGUACUCGAGUGGCGAACGGGUGAGUAACACGUGGGCAACCUGCCCUCAGCUCUGGGAUAACUCCGGGAAACCGGUGCUAAUACUGGAUAUCAACUUUGCCUCGCAUGGGGUGUUGUUGAAAGUUUUUCGGCUGGGGAUGGGCCCGCGGCCUAUCAGCUUGUUGGUGGGGUGAUGGCCUACCAAGGCGACGACGGGUAGCCGGCCUGAGAGGGCGACCGGCCACACUGGGACUGAGACACGGCCCAGACUCCUACGGGAGGCAGCAGUGGGGAAUAUUGCGCAAUGGGCGGAAGCCUGACGCAGCGACGCCGCGUGAGGGAUGACGGCCUUCGGGUUGUAAACCUCUUUCAGCUCUGACGAAGCGUGAGUGACGGUAGGAGCAGAAGAAGCACCGGCCAACUACGUGCCAGCAGCCGCGGUAAUACGUAGGGUGCAAGCGUUGUCCGGAAUUAUUGGGCGUAAAGAGCUCGUAGGCGGUUUGUCGCGUCGAAUGUGAAAACCCGGGGCUCAACCCCGGGCCUGCAUUCGAUACGGGCAGACUAAAGUUCGGUAGGGGAGUCUGGAAUUCCUGGUGUA